Long non-coding RNA from Camelus dromedarius (Arabian camel), 3927 nucleotides. RefSeq lists it as uncharacterized. NCBI's taxonomy places the organism in Eukaryota, Metazoa, Chordata, Mammalia, Artiodactyla, Camelidae. The record is from RefSeq and is a predicted model, not a curated record. The transcript has 5 exons.
GCACAGCACACGUGGGCGUGAGCGGUCUCCGGACUGACCACCCUCAGCCUCCCCAGGCCAGCACUGCCUGGAAUCUUUCCUGUUCUUAGAGCUGUGAACCUGAACAAGGCUCAGACAACCCAGGGUCUCUUAGCAUCAGGCUAUAAGAACAAUUCUCCAAUUCAACAAUAUUUAAUUGACUACUUUAGGUAAAUGUCCACAUUUUAUCUAGCCGUUUGUGUGCCCCACCCCGUCAACCUUCUGCCACUUAUAUCCAGACCUAAGCACCCUGCUUCUUUGGGAAGCAUGUGGCUGGCAUUAUAGUACCAGCAUUACGAGCAUACGGGUUUUGGGAACCAGAUGGGACACUGUGAAGUAGCAACUUCCACAGGCCUGUGGACGUGGCCCAGGCACCAGGUUCUUGGCAGUUACUCAUGUCCCCCAAGUCCUGGACCUCAACCCCCGCACAGCUGUCCUGCCCCCGUCUGUGUGGCAGAGCCAGCAACUGGAGAAAUGGCUCAACAGUCCUCAGUCCCCACAUGCUGAGCUAUCUGUCCAGGUUGGGAGGAGCUAUGUUCGCCAGCUGUGGCUCUCCAGGGCCACCAGAACCCAGGGACCACCCAAGUCACUGCUCCUUAGGGGCAGAGGGACUACUGUUUGGGGCCUUGAGGGGUUGACUGGUGCAUCACUUAGAGCCAGAGGCCAAACCAGGGACCACAGAGGGGGUCAAUCGCAUACCCAAAUUUUGAUACACCCUUGAACAAAAACAGAAACCACCUAAAGUGCUUUAAACUCUUCCAGCCAUAAUAUACUUAAGGCAUUUUUCUUUGUACGACCCAGCAGAAACAUUACUUGUAUCGAAUCAAAACACACACUUAUAAGCAAUGAAAAUCAUCACAAUUACACAUAUCUUGCAGCAAACCUUUAAAGUAUGCUGUCAAGACCACAUCUUUGGAUUACCAUCUCAUAAAAUGACCUUUCUCUGAACUCAUCUCCAGGGAGAGCAUGACAGUGUGGUUUUGUUUGAACGGCUGUGCCAGCAGCAAGCUGGCCUUGGAGAGCAUGUGCCCAUGUUGCUGCAGGAUGGCAGGCUCUGGGGAGACCAAACCUGCCCUGCCUCUCAAAGGGUGUGGGUUGAUUUGGGGCAGAUUCCUUCACUUUAGCUAAGGCAAUUUCUUCAUCUGUAGAAUGGGCACAAUAAUAUCUCACCUGAAUGGGACCGUUGCAUGAUACAAGUUUAGUACAAGGACACAGCCAGCACUCAAUAGCUUUCAUUCAUAUUUUUACUGCCCAAAGUCCUACAGUUACUAAGAUGCAGGGAAAGGGCUUGCUCUUAUGCUCUUGUGUUCUGUUAUUAUUUUUAGCAUUUUUUUUUACAUUGUAAUAUAAAACAACAUACAUAAAAGUGCAUAAAUCCAUGCAGUUUAACAAAUAUUUGUAAAACCAAUACUUGUGUAACCACUGCCGAGGUCAAGAAAAGGAUGCUAACAUCCUAGGAGCAUCUUGUAGGCCCCCUCCCCCCCCUGCCAGGAGCCCUUCCCCCCAGCGGUAGCCUCUCCUUCCCACAGCUCCCAAGCACAACUGCUGUGGCUCUUCGAGAAAAGCUCCUCAGGCGGUGAGCCGCCCUCCCUGCAGCACAACAUCCUGAGCCUUGGAGGAUUCCUGAGGACUUAGAGACUCAUGCGUCCUGAAAGCCAUGUCCAGAAGAUUUCUGCUCUCCUUCAUUAAUGUCUGGAAGAGGCCUCAGUUACAUCCUGCCUAUGAGUUGCACAUGCAACAGGACCAACAGUGCUGAUCCACCAACUUGAACACUGAAGGCAGGGAGGACAUGCAAGGGUGGAAGAAAAGUGCCUGGUCGAGAGAAAUGCGGCAGGUUUAGAAAGAAAACUUAAGGUUGGAACAUUUUCAAAGAGCUCAGAAGCUUUCUAUUCAAUGCUGUUCAACAUGCUGGUCUAAGAAAAGGGAAGGAGUCGUGCCCUGUGUUGGAGCUCCUGCUCCAUCAAGUGCAUCGAGAGAUACAGUUGCACAUUGCUCUCUGUGGCAGUUAACAACUUUCCCAAUGUUCUCUGGCAGUUAAGAGGACCGCUGGAACCAUUUGGAAUGGACGUGGCAGACAGGCACCAUUCUCUUGUUCCUGAUUUUAAAGGGAAUGCUUCUAAUGUUUCACCAUUAUGAUGUUAGGUGUAGGUUCUGAGUAGGUCAUCUUACUCAUAUUAACAGAUUUCCCUUCUGUUUCUUACCAUGACUUUGCCAAGUGUUUCUUCUUCCUUUUAAUCUUGAAUAAGUGUGGAAUUUUAUCAAAUGUUCUUUGUGUCCCUAUUGAAGUGUCUGUACUUUUUUCUCCCAUGUUAAUGUGAUUAAUUACAUUCAGAUAUUUUCUAAUGGUAAUCACUCCUGCAUCUCUAGAAUAAUCACAAUUUAGUCAGAAUGUAGUUUCUGUUCUUUAUAUUACUGGAUCUAGUAUGCUUUUACCAUGUCUAGGAUUUUUUUCAUGUAGAUAAAUGAGAACUAUUGUCCCAUAAUUUUCCUUUAUCAUACGGUCCUUGUCUGAUUUUAGUGUCACAGUUGUGUGGGCCUCAGAGUCGAGCUGAGGGAAUGUCCUCCUAUUUUUCUGUUCUCUAGAAAAGUUUAUACCAUAUGAAAUUGCUGUUCUUGUAUAUAAUAAUGAAAAUUCUGGAAUUUUGAGAAAAAAUGUUUUAGUCAACCCAUGUGUACCAUUAACAUUAAUAAAUUUCUUCUACUAACAUACUAAAUAUUAUGUUCAGUUUUUAAAAAUUGAGUGGUUUUAGACAGCAUAAGUUUUCUUAGCCCUCCAAUUUACUACUUCUUUACUGAAAGAGGUUUUAUUUUUUGGCACUGCAAAUGAGGAACAUGAUGGCAGCCCCCUGGGGAAAGUUCCAGUGAGCACGACAUGUGCAAACAACGGUGCUGGCGGUGGUUUCACCUGGGUGUAACGGGCCGCAGUACAGUCACUGGAAUCUUCUCUAGUUGCAGCGAUGUACCUAUGCAUACGUGUGUGCUUCAGCAACAUCCAGACCCUGCCCAGACAGCUUUCGAUUGUUGCAUUUCUAUUUUCUUUGUCACAGGCUUUGAUCCUCUACAAAAUGGGUCUGCUUUUGAUCACCCAUCAAUUAUUGUGCCUAUUUGUUUAAUUUUUUUUCACCUUCUCUAUUGUAGCCAAGUGUUGACAUACUGUGUCACUGGACAUGCCUUAAGUUUGCAACAAAUGUUUGAAUUAUUAUUUGUGGGUUAGUUUUUAAUUCACUGAUUUUUAUUUAAAACAAAGUUGGAUCUUUCUUGAGAUUUAAUUUUGAAAAUAAGAUUCCCAGAUUGAAAUUUUUGAACUAUCUUUUGAACAAUCCUUUAGUAACAAAACUUUUCCACAGACCAAAUGAUGCUUCUAUCUGCUUCAGGUGUAUGAUGUUUCAGUUUAAAUAUAAAAAAGAUCUGCAUUUACUUCAAAGAUAUUGUUUACUUCUGUGGCAAAAUGAAAACAAUAAAAAUAAACUCAAGAACCAAGCAAACUUUAAAAGCACUAUACUGUUGUAAAUUCUCAAUAGCAAAAAUAGAAUUGUAUUUAUAUCAAAUUUACAAUUCAUAGUCAAUUUCAACUGACCACGUGUUGACAUUCCAUGUGGUACACUCUAAUAUAUGCCUGGAAUAAUCCAUUUCUUUAAAGUGUGGUAGAACUUGCCCAUAAAACUAUAUACAUUACACAUACAUACAUACACAAUGAGUUCAUGUAAAAACUGGUGAAAACUGAAUAAGACCUAUAAUCUAGUUAAUUGUAUUGUGGCAGUGUCAAUUUACUGGGUUUGAUGCUGCACUAGUUAUAAAAGGUGUCACCAUUGGGGAAAGAUGAGUGAAGGGUUCCUAGAAUUCUGUUCUCUUUUCUAUUUCUUGUAAAUUUAAAACUAUUUCAAAAAAUAAAGUUAACAAGAAAACACA